Molecule: non-coding RNA, 48 nt
Filed under: Schistosoma mansoni
Lineage: Eukaryota; Metazoa; Platyhelminthes; Trematoda; Strigeidida; Schistosomatidae
Source: RNAcentral
AUCUAGCUGAAGAGUCCCAAAUAAGACGAAGUGGCACGCGUUCUAGAU